This 384-nucleotide ribosomal RNA is filed under the name Triatoma rubrovaria. RNAcentral describes it as "partial 16S ribosomal RNA". The record is from RNAcentral. Lineage: Eukaryota; Metazoa; Arthropoda; Insecta; Hemiptera; Reduviidae.
CAAAAACAUGUCCUUUUGUUUAUUGAUUUAAGGUCUGACCUGCCCAAUGAGGAGUUGAAUGGCCGCAGUAUUUUAACUGUGCUAAGGUAGCAUAAUCAUUUGUCUUUUAAUUGAGGGCUGGAAUGAAGGGUUGGACGAGGUAUUAGCUUUCUUUAAUUUAGUUAGAAGAAUUUAAUUUUUGAGUUAAAAAGCUUAAAUUUAUUUGUGGGACGAGAAGACCCUAUAGAUCUUUAUAGUUUAAUAUUUUAGUAAUUUAGGGAUUUAUGUACUUUAAGUAGAAGAACUAUUUUGUUGGGGUGACUGUAGAAUUUGAAUAACUUCUAUUUUUUAUUUUCAUUAAUUAGUGUUUUAAUGAUCCAUAUUUUAUGAUUAGAAGAUUAAGUU